Molecule: ribosomal RNA, 436 nt
Filed under: Paecilomyces variotii
Lineage: Eukaryota; Fungi; Ascomycota; Eurotiomycetes; Eurotiales; Thermoascaceae
Description: eukaryotic LSU rRNA
Rfam family: Eukaryotic large subunit ribosomal RNA
Source: RNAcentral
UGAAGCGGCAAGAGCUCAAAUUUGAAAUCUGGCUCCUCCGGGGGCCGAGUUGUAAUUCGCAGAGGAUGCUUCGGGUGCGGUCCCCGUCUAAGUGCCCUGGAACGGGCCCUCAUAAAGGGAGGAGAAUCCCGUCUGGGAGGGGCGGCCCUGCCCGUGUGAAGCUCCUUCGACGAGUCGAGUUGUUUGGGAAUGCAGCUCUCAAUGGGUGGUAAAUUUCAUCUAAAGCUAAAUAUUGGCCGGAGACCGAUAGCGCACAAGUCAAGUGAUCGAAAGAUCAAAAGCACUUUGAAAAGACAGUUAAACAGCACGUGAAAUUGUUGAAAGGGAAGCGCUUGCGACCAGACUCGCCUGCGGGGGUUCAGCCGGUACUCGUACCGGUGUACUCCCCCGUGGGCGGGCCAGCGGCGGUUUGGGCGGCCGGUCAAAGGCCCCCGGA